GACGAACGCUGGCGGCGUGCCUAAUACAUGCAAGUUGAGCGCUGAAGGUUGGUACUUGUACCGACUGGAUGAGCAGCGAACGGGUGAGUAACGCGUGGGGAAUCUGCCUUUGAGCGGGGGACAACAUUUGGAAACGAAUGCUAAUACCGCAUAAAAACUUUAAACACAAGUUUUAAGUUUGAAAGAUGCAAUUGCAUCACUCAAAGAUGAUCCCGCGUUGUAUUAGCUAGUUGGUGAGGUAAAGGCUCACCAAGGCGAUGAUACAUAGCCGACCUGAGAGGGUGAUCGGCCACAUUGGGACUGAGACACGGCCCAAACUCCUACGGGAGGCAGCAGUAGGGAAUCUUCGGCAAUGGACGAAAGUCUGACCGAGCAACGCCGCGUGAGUGAAGAAGGUUUUCGGAUCGUAAAACUCUGUUGGUAGAGAAGAACGUUGGUGAGAGCGGAAAGCUCAUCAAGUGACGGUAACUACCCAGAAAGGGACGGCUAACUACGU
Molecule: ribosomal RNA, 496 nt
Filed under: uncultured bacterium
Lineage: Bacteria
Description: partial 16S ribosomal RNA
Rfam family: Bacterial small subunit ribosomal RNA
Source: RNAcentral